RNAcentral lists this ribosomal RNA (291 nucleotides) under uncultured prokaryote. Its description in RNAcentral is "partial 16S ribosomal RNA". It matches the Rfam family "Archaeal small subunit ribosomal RNA", at positions 455 to 746 of the family's 1478-position model. The record is from RNAcentral.
GUGUCACAGCCGCGGUAAUACCGGCAGCCCAAGUGAUGGCCGAUCUUAUUGGGCCUAAAGCGUCCGUAGCUGGCCGCACAAGUCCAUCGGGAAAUCCACCUGCCCAACAGGUGGACGCCCGGUGGAAACUGUGUGGCUUGGGACCGGAAGGCGCGACGGGUACGUCCGGGGUAGGAGUGAAAUCCCGUAAUCCUGGACGGACCGCCGAUGGCGAAAGCACGUCGCGAAAACGGAUCCGACAGUGAGGGACGAAAGCCAGGGUCUCGAACCGGAUUAGAUACCCCGGUAGUC